AACCCCGCCUGUUUACCAAAAACAUCACCUCUAGCAUAAUCAGUAUUAGAGGAACUGCCUGCCAAGUGACACAUGUUUAACCCAUACAAAGGUAGCAUAAUCACUUGUUCUUUAAAUAGGGACUAGUAUGAAUGGCUUGACAAGGGUU
This 148-nucleotide ribosomal RNA is filed under the name Marmota monax (woodchuck). RNAcentral's name for it is "LSU_rRNA_archaea". The record is from RNAcentral. Lineage: Eukaryota; Metazoa; Chordata; Mammalia; Rodentia; Sciuridae.